GAAAAAGAAACCUAUGAUCAUUGUGGAAGCAGCUUGUGCAAAUAUUUUGACAGUUGAAUCUUCAACUUGAGAUAUGUUGUUUUCCAUAAGGUUCGGCCCACCAAUUGCAGAAUAGAACAGCAGAACUCCUCCAAGUGAGACUUUAUGAAUCUAAUAACUUUCAUUGGUUCAGUUUCAAUGAUGCAAAAGAUGUAGCAAGAUCCAUUGCCUCCUUUAUUUGAGAUGCAUCGAUUCCCUGGCCUGACGCGAGGCCACCUUUCCCCUUCCCACAUCUUCCUUUUAAAGGCUGCAAAGCUGUUGUCAACCAUUCUGAUACCUCUAAUUGCUUCCCUUGACUCCCUUUUGGAGGAACCCCAGCACAAACCACAGCCUUCUUUGUGGUUUCAUCGGUGCUGAAAACCAUCGCGGAUAUGCCCUUUUGCUCCAUAACUCUAAUAACUGCUUCACGAACCGCAACUGCAUCCAAACCAACAUCGACACGGG
RNAcentral lists this unclassified non-coding RNA (483 nucleotides) under Hevea brasiliensis (rubber tree). The record is from RNAcentral. Lineage: Eukaryota; Viridiplantae; Streptophyta; Magnoliopsida; Malpighiales; Euphorbiaceae.